RNAcentral lists this ribosomal RNA (240 nucleotides) under uncultured bacterium. Its description in RNAcentral is "partial 16S ribosomal RNA". It matches the Rfam family "Bacterial small subunit ribosomal RNA", at positions 28 to 261 of the family's 1533-position model. The record is from RNAcentral.
GAUGAACGCUAGCGGCAGGCUUAAUACAUGCAAGUCGUGGGGCAGCAUGAGUGUAGCAAUACAUUUGAUGGCGACCGGCAAACGGGUGCGGAACACGUACACAACCUUCCUUCAAGUGGGGAAUAGCCCAGGGAAACUUGGAUUAAUACCCCGUAAUAUUAUGGAGUGGCAUCACUUUAUAAUUAUAGCUCCGGCGCUUGAUGAUGGGUGUGCGCCUGAUUAGGUAGUUGGCGGGGUAAC